GAGCUCCUGAAAUAAUGAAGUAUUUUCAUACACCAGAUAGACCACUAUGGGAAGAUGAAAAUUCUCGUGUCAUUGAGGAAAUUUUUGGUUCCGAUCCACCAGAAAUGUAGACUUUCAAUUUAUUUGAGGCUGUACGUUAUCUAUUGGAGAAUUUCAAAAUCAUCGAUAAAUAUCGUCAACUCAAAAAUAAAUUUCAAAACACUGAAGCACAAAAGCAGAAAGAAAACGAGGAUACGAUUCCGAAUUCGUUUUGGAAGUACAGGAACAGCAGAGAGAUUCACCACGCUAAUUGUAUGGUAACAUGGAGCAGUUUCAAAAGCUGUGGAAUUCAAUUCAGGUUAAAUGAAAGUUCCUUGACACUUGCAAUGCUACCGUGAUUACUGAAUUUUUCACCAAAGACGAUGUGGAGACAGAGUUCAAACUAUCUCCAGCCUCAUCUGGACUCACAACCAUAGAUUUUUAAAUUUAUUUCUACCAUUUUGAACUGACAACUCCUCAACAAGUAAUCUCGUGAAGAGAUACAUAUUGGAGAAGACCUCAGCAUUCUAUGAUUCACAGAAGAAGAACGCAGAAAACCAGCAUUGCCAGCUGCCAUCCAUUAGUAAUGUAAUGUCCAGAUUAUUUCAAUCACUUCCGCAUCAACAACAAUGCACAAAUCACCCUAUUUCAAAAUCAAUGCCAACCGACAUCGACCUCUAAAGAAUGCACAACGUUGCACUCCUCGGGAACACUUGCAAAACGAAAGACCGCAACCUUGCAAAAUUCGACAACAGAGCCGGGUCGAUGAACCAGGAAACCAAAGAGGCGGAAAUCACACCACCUCCCCCACUCCAAAUAAAUUUCCAUUUUUCCCAAGUAAGGCGAGGCCCCUCCAAAAAAAUCAAACCUCAGUCACGAAAACCCUCUCGCGAAUUAACUACGACUUCUUGGCGGAAGUAUUUUUUGGAAUCGGUCCGGCUCUUGUUAGUGUUCGAACUUAUCUUCGGAAAUUCGGAGUGUUCUCGAAUAGCAGUAGGGAACAUAAAUUAGCAAGUGUUCGGGGAUACAAGUUCCUUUAACCGAAAGUAGAACAGCUUCUUGCUUCUGAGAGAAUUAGUGGUGAACUUGGUGAAUCGUGGGUGUGGCUCAACUUUUAUAAACAAUUAAGACUCAAGACUUAUUCAAUUCUAACUUCAUCAAUUCCGAACAAGUAGAAGACGGGAAUUCCACCUAAGUAUUUGUAAUAGUGUACCAAUCGUUCGCUGGCAGAGAAACGUGGUGGAUUACCUCAAGAAUUCACGAAAUAUAAUUAAGAACCACUCAAAGUGAGUCAUUACCAUUGUUAACAUUCAAGAGAUAGAUCUAGUAAUGAUUGCAGGGUUUCACAGAUAAUCAUU
Diachasma alloeum is the source of this 1376-nucleotide long non-coding RNA. RefSeq lists it as uncharacterized. Lineage: Eukaryota; Metazoa; Arthropoda; Insecta; Hymenoptera; Braconidae. The record is from RefSeq and is a predicted model, not a curated record. The transcript has 3 exons.